GACGAACGCUGGCGGCGUGCUUAACACAUGCAAGUCGAACGGAAAGGCCCUGCUUUUGUGGGGUGCUCGAGUGGCGAACGGGUGAGUAACACGUGAGUAACCUGCCCUUGACUUUGGGAUAACUUCAGGAAACUGGGGCUAAUACCGGAUAGGAGCUCCUGCUGCAUGGUGGGGGUUGGAAAGUUUCGGCGGUUGGGGAUGGACUCGCGGCUUAUCAGCUUGUUGGUGGGGUAGUGGCUUACCAAGGCUUUGGCGGGUAGCCGGCCUGAGAGGGUGACCGGCCACAUUGGGCCUGAGGUACGGCCCAGACUCCUACGGGAGGCAGCAGUGGGGAAUAUUGCACGAUGGGCGGAAGCCUGAUGCAGCAACGCCGCGUGCGGGAUGACGGCCUUCGGGUUGUAAACCGCUUUCGCCUGUGACGAAGCGUGAGUGACGGUAAUGGGUAAAGAAGCACCGGCUAACUACGUG
This 468-nucleotide ribosomal RNA is filed under the name uncultured bacterium. Its description in RNAcentral is "partial 16S ribosomal RNA". It matches the Rfam family "Bacterial small subunit ribosomal RNA", at positions 28 to 507 of the family's 1533-position model. The record is from RNAcentral.